This 254-nucleotide ribosomal RNA is filed under the name uncultured bacterium. RNAcentral's name for it is "partial 16S ribosomal RNA". It matches the Rfam family "Bacterial small subunit ribosomal RNA", at positions 524 to 776 of the family's 1533-position model. The record is from RNAcentral.
UACAGAGGGUGCGAGCGUUAAUCGGAAUUACUGGGCGUAAAGCGCACGUAGUCGGCUUUGCAAGUCGGUUGUGAAAUCCCCGGGCUCAACCUGGGAACUGCAUCCGAUGACUGCAUUGCUAGAGUAUGGGAGAGGAAAGCGGAAUUUCUGGUGUAGCAGUGAAAUGCGUAGAUAUCAGAAGGAACAUCAGUGGCGAAGGCGGCUUUCUGGACCAAUACUGACGAUCAGGUGCGAAAGCGUGGGGAGCAAACAGG